AUGAAGAGACAAUGGGGAGCCCUGCUGGGGCUUCUGUGGGUCCAGAUUUGCUGGGUGAGAGGAGUGAAGGUGGAGCAGAGCCCUUCAGUCUUGAAGCUCCAGGAAGGAGCCAACUCUACUCUGAGGUGCAAUUUUUCUGACACAGUGAACAAUGUGCAGUGGUUCCAGCAGAAUCCCGGAGGCAGCCUCACCACGCUGUUUUCCAUAGCUUCAGGGACAAAGCAGAAAGAAAGGCUGAGUUCCACAGUGAAUUUUAAGGAACGGUAUAGCACCCUACACAUCGCAGCCUCCCAGCUGGAAGACGCAGCCACCUACCUCUGUGCGGUGGAGGCACAGUGCUCCUUGGUGAUCUGA
Cervus elaphus (red deer) is the source of this 354-nucleotide non-coding RNA. Lineage: Eukaryota; Metazoa; Chordata; Mammalia; Artiodactyla; Cervidae. The record is from the annotation of a RefSeq genome assembly.